Long non-coding RNA from Lates calcarifer (barramundi perch), 1033 nucleotides. RefSeq lists it as uncharacterized. The record is from RefSeq and is a predicted model, not a curated record. Lineage: Eukaryota; Metazoa; Chordata; Actinopteri; Centropomidae. The transcript is spliced from 3 exons.
AAUUAACUGACAGAUUCAGAGGAGCGAGCGAGGGAAAGUGUGGAGGAGGCGUACUGUUUGGUAUCAUUAGGAACUCAUUAUGGCUCCACACUGGACAACCACGCUGAGAAAGGAGGAGAGAAGAGGACAGGAGAGAAGAGCGGCAGAAUGUAGUGGACUGUUAACAUUUAAUGACUGCUUAUGGAUGAUCGGCACAAACAAAAAACAAACAAAUAGCCAUCCUGCAUUUGUGCAUUCAGUGUGUCCAGCCUCACGGCUGACUAAACGAAAGACUUCUGUUUCUACUGAGUACAGAUAAAUAGAGGCAGGCAUUGUGUUACUGGAUCGCACCAAAGCUGGCCCCACUGUCACAAAGCGCUCUCUGUGGUUUCACAGGAACAGUUGUUGGCUUGGGGAUGAGCCAGUGGGCCCCCCCUUCAGCCAGAAGGUCUCGUACCAGAAUGCAGAGUCUUGGACUCAAUGUUCUGGGAACACAACAGCCAAACCUGCCAAACCUUUUCAUACCAAACCACAGCGCUCUUUGGGCAUCAGAAUAAAGCAGGGACUGCUCAGUGGGAGGACGAAGAUUUCAAGUUGGCAUCACAAAUGAGUCUCUCCACCGCUCUCAGGUCCUCCAUCAUUCCAAGACAAGUAUCAUACCAAGACCUGCCCUCAGAAGCAGACACAAAACAAAACACAGCCGAACAUCUGAGCAACUACUUUUGCAGCUGCUCCUCUGAGCUUCUUCUGGGAGCGAGGCCAGCAGCCCUGCAGGUGACCGUUUCAGCUCACUCAGAAAAAAAAAGGCUGGGUUGGUUGGAGUCACCAGAAGACCAAAGUACCAAGACACACCCAGAGCAGUUCAGUACCCAUGGGAGGAUGCGGUCUUUCGGCAGCUGUAGUUCAAACUGCCACCUCACUACAAGCCCAGCAAGUCAAUGGAAUCAAAAACAAGGAUUGUCUUAACAUCAGCUUGACUGCAGAAUCCAAACAACACAACUCAGACCAGUUCAGCCUCAGUGGAGAUAUAAAGCAGACGAUCUUUGGAGGAUUC